UACGUAGGUGACAAGCGUUAUCCGGAUUUACUGGGCGUAAAGGGCGUGUAGGCGGUCUUGCAAGUCAGAAGUGAAAUUCCUGAGCUCAACUCGGGCGCUGCUUCUGAAACUGCAGGACUUGAGUGCUGGAGGGGAUAGCGGAAUUCCUAGUGGAGCGGUAAAAUGCGCAGAUAUUAGGAAGAACACCGGUGGCGAAGGCGGCUAUCUGGACAGUAACUGACGCUGAGGCGCGAAAGCGUGGGGAGCAAACGGGAUUAGAUACCCUGGUAGUCCACGCCGUAAACGAUGAAUGCUAGGUGUAGGGGGUAUCGACUCCCUCUGUGCCGCAGUUAACACAAUAAGUAUUCCGCCUGGGGAGUACGGCCGCAAGGUUGAAACUCAAAUGAAUUGACGGGG
RNAcentral lists this ribosomal RNA (396 nucleotides) under uncultured bacterium. RNAcentral describes it as "partial 16S ribosomal RNA". It matches the Rfam family "Bacterial small subunit ribosomal RNA", at positions 524 to 918 of the family's 1533-position model. The record is from RNAcentral.